UACGUAGGGUGCGAGCGUUGUCCGGAAUUACUGGGCGUAAAGAGCUCGUAGGUGGUUUGUCGCGUUGUUCGUGAAAACUCACAGCUUAACUGUGGGCGUGCGGGCGAUACGGGCAGACUGGAGUACUGCAGGGGAGACUGGAAUUCCUGGUGUAGCGGUGGAAUGCGCAGAUAUCAGGAGGAACACCGGUGGCGAAGGCGGGUCUCUGGGCAGUAACUGACGCUGAGGAGCGAAAGCGUGGGUAGCGAACAGG
Molecule: ribosomal RNA, 253 nt
Filed under: uncultured bacterium
Lineage: Bacteria
Description: partial 16S ribosomal RNA
Rfam family: Bacterial small subunit ribosomal RNA
Source: RNAcentral